GGGGGAUUAGUGGCGAACGGGUGAGUAACACGUGAGUAACCUGCCCUUGACUCUGGGAUAAGCCUGGGAAACUGGGUCUAAUACCGGAUACGACCAUCUGGCGCAUGUCAUGGUGGUGGAAAGCUUUUGUGGUUUUGGAUGGACUCGCGGCCUAUCAGCUUGUUGGUGGGGUAAUGGCCUACCAAGGCGACGACGGGUAGCCGGCCUGAGAGGGUGACCGGCCACACUGGGACUGAGACACGGCCCAGACUCCUACGGGAGGCAGCAGUGGGGAAUAUUGCACAAUGGGCGCAAGCCUGAUGCAGCGACGCCGCGUGAGGGAUGACGGCCUUCGGGUUGUAAACCUCUUUCAGUAGGGAAGAAGCGAAAGUGACGGUACCUGCAGAAGAAGCGCCGGCUAACUACGUGCCAGCAGCCGCGGUAAUACGUAGGGCGCAAGCGUUAUCCGGAAUUAUUGGGCGUAAAGAGCUCGUAGGCGGUUUGUCGCGUCUGCUGUGAAAGACCGGGGCUCAACUCCGGUUCUGCAGUGGGUACGGGCAGACUAGAGUGCAGUAGGGGAGACUGGAAUUCCUGGUGUAGCGGUGAAAUGCGCAGAUAUCAGGAGGAACACCGAUGGCGAAGGCAGGUCUCUGGGCUGUAACUGACGCUGAGGAGCGAAAGCAUGGGGAGCGAACAGGAUUAGAUACCCUGGUAGUCCAUGCCGUAAACGUUGGGCACUAGGUGUGGGGGACAUUCCACGUUUUCCGCGCCGUAGCUAACGCAU
Molecule: ribosomal RNA, 763 nt
Filed under: Paenarthrobacter nitroguajacolicus
Lineage: Bacteria; Bacillati; Actinomycetota; Actinomycetes; Micrococcales; Micrococcaceae
Description: bacterial SSU rRNA
Rfam family: Bacterial small subunit ribosomal RNA
Source: RNAcentral